AACGAACGCUGGCGGCAUGCCUAACACAUGCAAGUCGAACGAGACCUUCGGGUCUAGUGGCGCACGGGUGCGUAACGCGUGGGAAUCUGCCCUUGGGUUCGGAAUAACAGUUGGAAACGACUGCUAAUACCGGAUGAUGACGUAAGUCCAAAGAUUUAUCGCCCAAGGAUGAGUCCGCGUAGGAUUAGCUAGUUGGUGAGGUAGAGGCUCACCAAGGCGACGAUCCUUAGCUGGUCUGAGAGGAUGAUCAGCCACACUGGGACUGAGACACGGCCCAGACUCCUACGGGAGGCAGCAGUGGGGAAUAUUGGACAAUGGGCGAAAGCCUGAUCCAGCAAUGCCGCGUGAGUGAUGAAGGCCUUAGGGUUGUAAAGCUCUUUUACCCGGGAUGAUAAUGACAGUACCGGGAGAAUAAGCUCCGGCUAACUCCGUG
RNAcentral lists this ribosomal RNA (433 nucleotides) under uncultured bacterium. Its description in RNAcentral is "partial 16S ribosomal RNA". It matches the Rfam family "Bacterial small subunit ribosomal RNA", at positions 29 to 507 of the family's 1533-position model. The record is from RNAcentral.